UGGAGUAUGUGGUUUAAUUCGACGCAACGCGAAGAACCUUACCAGGACUUUGACAUCCUCUGACGAUGCAAGAGAUUGCAUUUUUGAUCUUCGGAUUGACAGAGAGACAGGUGGUGCAUGGUUGUCGUCAGCUCGUGUCGUGAGAUGUUGGGUUAAGUCCCGCAACGAGCGCAACCCUUAUUUUUAGUUGCCAGCAGGUAAGGCUGGGCACUCUAGAGAGACUGCCGGUGACAAACCGGAGGAAGGUGGGGAUGACGUCAAAUCAUCAUGCCCUUUAUGUCCUGGGCUACACACGUACUACAAUGGCCUGUACAAAGGGUAGCGAAGCCGCGAGGUGAAGCCAAUCCCAAAAAGCAGGUCUCAGUUCGGAUUGUAGGCUGCAACUCGCCUACAUGAAGUCGGAAUCGCUAGUAAUCGCGGAUCAGCAUGCCGCGGUGAAUACGUUCCCGGGCCUU
Molecule: ribosomal RNA, 455 nt
Filed under: uncultured Peptococcaceae bacterium
Lineage: Bacteria; Bacillati; Bacillota; Clostridia; Eubacteriales; Peptococcaceae
Description: bacterial SSU rRNA
Rfam family: Bacterial small subunit ribosomal RNA
Source: RNAcentral